AUCCCGGUAGUAUAGUGGUCAGUAUCCCCGCCUGUCACGCGGGAGACCGGGUUCGAUUCUGGGGGA
This 66-nucleotide transfer RNA is filed under the name Trichonephila inaurata madagascariensis. Its description in RNAcentral is "tRNA-Asp". The record is from RNAcentral. Lineage: Eukaryota; Metazoa; Arthropoda; Arachnida; Araneae; Nephilidae.